AGUGAACGCUGGCGGUAGGCCUAACACAUGCAAGUCGAACGGCAGCACAGUAAGAGCUUGCUCUUACGGGUGGCGAGUGGCGGACGGGUGAGGAAUACAUCGGAAUCUACUUUUUCGUGGGGGAUAACGUAGGGAAACUUACGCUAAUACCGCAUACGACCUACGGGUGAAAGCAGGGGAUCUUCGGACCUUGCGCGAUUGAAUGAGCCGAUGUCGGAUUAGCUAGUUGGCGGGGUAAAGGCCCACCAAGGCGACGAUCCGUAGCUGGUCUGAGAGGAUGAUCAGCCACACUGGAACUGAGACACGGUCCAGACUCCUACGGGAGGCAGCAGUGGGGAAUAUUGGACAAUGGGCGCAAGCCUGAUCCAGCCAUACCGCGUGGGUGAAGAAGGCCUUCGGGUUGUAAAGCCCUUAUGUUGGGAAAGAAAAGCAGCAGGUUAAUAUCCCGCUGUUCUGACGGUACCCAAAGAAUAAGCACCGGCUAACUUCGUG
Molecule: ribosomal RNA, 492 nt
Filed under: uncultured bacterium
Lineage: Bacteria
Description: partial 16S ribosomal RNA
Rfam family: Bacterial small subunit ribosomal RNA
Source: RNAcentral